GACGAACGCUGGCGGCGUGCUUAACACAUGCAAGUCGAACGGAAAGGCCCUGCUUUUGUGGGUUGCUCGAGUGGCGAACGGGUGAGUAACACGUGAGUAACCUGCCCUUGACUUUGGGAUAACUUCAGGAAACUGGGGCUAAUACCGGAUAGGAUCUCCUGCUGCAUGGUGGGGGUUGGAAAGUUUCGGCGGUUGGGGAUGGACUCGCGGCUUAUCAGCUUGUUGGUGGGGUAGUGGCUUACCAAGGCUUUGACGGGUAGCCGGCCUGAGAGGGUGACCGGCCACAUUGGGACUGAGAUACGGACCAGACUCCUACGGGAGGCAGCAGUGGAGAAUAUUGCACAAUGGGCGGAAGCCUGAUGCAGCAACGCCGCGUGCGGGAUGACGGCCUUCGGGUUGUAAACCGCUUUCGCCUGUGACGAAGCGUGAGUGACGGUAAUGGGUAAAGAAGCACCGGCUAACUACGUG
This 468-nucleotide ribosomal RNA is filed under the name uncultured bacterium. RNAcentral describes it as "partial 16S ribosomal RNA". It matches the Rfam family "Bacterial small subunit ribosomal RNA", at positions 28 to 507 of the family's 1533-position model. The record is from RNAcentral.